RNAcentral lists this ribosomal RNA (289 nucleotides) under uncultured Panacagrimonas sp. RNAcentral describes it as "partial 16S ribosomal RNA". Lineage: Bacteria; Pseudomonadati; Pseudomonadota; Gammaproteobacteria; Nevskiales; Nevskiaceae. The record is from RNAcentral.
CUACACGGGUAUCUAAUCCUGUUUGCUCCCCACGCUUUCGUGUCUCAGCGUCAGUACAGGCCCAGGCGGUUGCCUUCGCCAUCGGUGUUCCUCCGGAUAUCUACGCAUUUCACCGCUACACCCGGAAUUCCGCCGCCCUCUACCGUACUCUAGCUCGCCAGUAUCGAAUGCAAUUCCUAGGUUGAGCCCAGGGCUUUCACAUCCGACUUAACGAACCGCCUACACACGCUUUACGCCCAGUAAAUCCGAUUAACGCUAGCACCCUCUGUAUUACCGCGGCUGCUGGCAC